This 774-nucleotide ribosomal RNA is filed under the name uncultured Neocallimastigales. Its description in RNAcentral is "partial large subunit ribosomal RNA". It matches the Rfam family "Eukaryotic large subunit ribosomal RNA", at positions 24 to 633 of the family's 3401-position model. The record is from RNAcentral. Lineage: Eukaryota; Fungi; Neocallimastigomycota; Neocallimastigomycetes; Neocallimastigales.
GUAGUCUCGCACAGAUGCAUAUCAAUAAGCGGAGGAAAAGAAACUAACAAGGAUUCCCCUAGUAACGGCGAGUGAAGCGGGAAGAGCUCAAAUUUGAAAUCUUAAAGGGUUUCCCUUUACGAAUUGUAGUUUAAAGAAGUGUUUUCUGUUGAGGUUUUGGUAAAAGUUCUUUGGAAUAGGACAUCAUAGAGGGUGAGAAUCCCGUAUUUGACCUUUACUUUCAACUUUGUGAUACACUUUCAAAGAGUCGGAUUGUUUGGGAAUGCAGUCCAAAAUGGGUGGUAAAUUUCAUCUAAAGCUAAAUAUUGGCGAGAGACCGAUAGCGAACAAGUACCGUGAGGGAAAGAUGAAAAGAACUUUGAAAAGAGAGUUAAACAGUACGUGAAAUUGUCAAAAGGGAAGCGUUUGACACCAGUGUUGUUUUUCUGAAAAUCAAUUAAAGAACUGUUUAUGCUAAGUUGUUUAGACUUUAUCAGCUAUCUGUUUAGUUUUGAGCUUUUCUUUAAUGCACUUUUCAGUUAACAAGUCAACAUCAAUUUCUUUUACUGUAAAAAAGCUUGAGGAAGGUGGCUUGAGAUUCGUCUUAAGUGUUUAUAGCCUCUUGCCUAUGCAGUCGGAGAGAUUGAGGUCUGCAGCGUAGAUCCUUCGGGGCUAAAUGCAUUUGUGCUAAGUUAUAGCAUUUUAUAGACAACUUGUUGACUAUGAUUUGUCUUGUAGCUUACUCGCUUAUGUUAUUUUACCUACGCUUAGGAUGUUGAAGACUCUACAGAGAUA